Molecule: unclassified non-coding RNA, 904 nt
Filed under: Hevea brasiliensis (rubber tree)
Lineage: Eukaryota; Viridiplantae; Streptophyta; Magnoliopsida; Malpighiales; Euphorbiaceae
Source: RNAcentral
UUUGGCUUGCAAAUUGCAAUAACUUUCUGUUUUAGUUUAAAUCCAAGAGAAUGAGAUAAUGAAUUAUUGGGUUUUGUUGUUGUAAACGAUUGACUGGGUUAAAUGCAAACACAAGAAAUUGACAGGGGAUAAAAAAAAUGGAAAGAUUUUUGUUUAUUGUGGGUGCCUUUUGUUUUAUGUUAUUUUCAUGUGCAAAUUAGUGUUUGACGCUUCUCUUUUUUCUUCUUUACUCAAUUUAGGAUGCUUUACGACAUGUUUUUGCGAGUAGGAUUGCUGAGAUAAAGGGCUCUCCACAAUGGAACCGGUUGUCAUUCGUAUCAUGCGCAUGUAAUCGCUUGGUUCUGAUGGAUGAGUCUUUACAACUUCUUCCUGCUGUUGAAACUCUUGAUUUGAGUAGAAAUAAGUUUGCAAAGGUAGAUAAUCUACGGAAGUGCACCAAAUUGAAGCACCUGGACCUUGGGUUCAAUCAUUUGAGAACAACUGCACCCUUUAGGGAGGUAGAAAUCAGUGAACUGUUCUUUAACUAGUAGAUUUACCUAAAUGUUUUGGCUGCUUUGAAAUCUUUUGGUUUAUGUGUGUAUCACAAAUUACAUUUUCAGUUUGUUAUUUGCUAGGUUUUCUUUCUCAGGUUGCAACUGUAUUAAUUGGGCUCUAUUAAAUGCUCUGAUAUGGGAUAUGCAUCCUAAAAUCUGUCUUGAGAGUUUAGCGACUCCUGCUAGAGUAAAUUAUUUCAGAUUUAUGCCAUGAAGGAAAAAAAGAUGUUCUAAGCAGAUUGAAACUUAAUUCACUAAGGAGUUUACAGCUUUAGUGGGCUUCAACUCUGUUAAUCUGCUGAGGCUAAUUUGUUUGGACAUUAACACAAGGGGUUCUCCAACUAGUUUGGAAUUAAGACUUAGUUGUUGUU